GACGAACGCUGGCGGCGUGCCUAAUACAUGCAAGUAGAACGCUGAAGGAGGAGCUUGCUCUUCUGGAUGAGUUGCGAACGGGUGAGUAACGCGUAGGUAACCUGCCUGGUAGCGGGGGAUAACUAUUGGAAACGAUAGCUAAUACCGCAUAAGAGUAGAUGUUGCAUGACAUUUGCUUAAAAGGUGCAAUUGCAUCACUACCAGAUGGACCUGCGUUGUAUUAGCUAGUUGGUGGGGUAACGGCUCACCAAGGCGACGAUACACAGCCGACCUGAGAGGGUGAUCGGCCACACUGGGACUGAGACACGGCCCAGACUCCUACGGGAGGCAGCAGUAGGGAAUCUUCGGCAAUGGACGGAAGUCUGACCGAGCAACGCCGCGUGAGUGAAGAAGGUUUUCGGAUCGUAAAGCUCUGUUGUAAGAGAAGAACGAGUGUGAGAGUGGAAAGUUCACACUGUGACGGUAUCUUACCAGAAAGGGACGGCUAACUACGUG
RNAcentral lists this ribosomal RNA (495 nucleotides) under uncultured bacterium. RNAcentral's name for it is "partial 16S ribosomal RNA". It matches the Rfam family "Bacterial small subunit ribosomal RNA", at positions 28 to 507 of the family's 1533-position model. The record is from RNAcentral.